CAGAGAAUAGUUUAAUUUAAAAUGCCAGCUUUGGGAGUUGGGUAUGGAGGUUUAAGUCCUCUUUCUCUGA
Molecule: transfer RNA, 70 nt
Filed under: Eudyptes pachyrhynchus (Fiordland penguin)
Lineage: Eukaryota; Metazoa; Chordata; Aves; Sphenisciformes; Spheniscidae
Also listed under: 7 other names
Description: tRNA-Pro
Rfam family: tRNA
About the family: Transfer RNA (tRNA) molecules are approximately 80 nucleotides in length. Their secondary structure includes four short double-helical elements and three loops (D, anti-codon, and T loops).
Source: RNAcentral